UAUUUUAUAAGUGGUUAAGGGAGUGCCGGGGCUUGGCGGGACCCUGAGAGAAAACUCCAGCUACACAUGCCUGUUCGUGUAUGUGUUGCUCAUGUGUGCAUGUGCCUGUGGAAUUCAGAGGACAGCCUUCACUGUCAGUCUUCAGGUGCCUUCCUCCUCUUUGUUUGAGACAGGGUCUCAUUGACGUAGAACUUUGACAAGUAGAUUCUGUCUCCACAGCAUUGAGAUUACAAGUGUGCCCAGCUAUUUGCAUGGGUUCUGGAGAAAUGAACUCAGUCCUCAUGCUUGCAAAGUAUUUUACCAACUGAAGAAUUAAUGCAGUGCCCUUUAAUAUAUGUUUGACAUGUACUUGGGAAGGUCUAAGAGCCAGCUUGAGCUUGGCUAUGCCUUCUAUUAUAGAGCAAUAAUUUUUUUUCUUAAAUUCCUUUGUGUGUGUGUGUGUGUGUGUGUGUGUGUGUGUGUGUGUGUGUGUGUGUACAUCUUACAGUUUCUGGAUUUCUCUUAAGGUAACUCUGUCCUGGAGAGAUGGCUCAGGGAAUAAAGGUGCCUGCCCCUAAGCAUGCAUCCUGAGUUCAAUUCCUAGGUCCUACAUAGCGGGAGAGAACCAACUCCCCCAGCUUACCCUCUGACCUCUGUACAAGCACUGUGGCAUGCACAUGCUUAAAUACCCACACAUAAAUAAAUUUUUAAAAGGGCAGUCUCAUCCCAAGAGUAUACAAAUACAUACAAAUUUGCUCCUAUUAUUUCAUAGUUGUUUACUGGUUUUUGUAGGUAUUUCAAGGUAUGUAACGAACCUAGAAUUUGUGUUGUUUUUGUUUUCUUCCAAGCUGAUAACAAAGCAUGCCACAAAAUAUUAUCUUGAAAUGCCAUAAUGCAUUGACUUGCUCAGCAAAGGCUUAUUUCAUUCUUCCUAUUUGCCUGGCUUAGGGUCAACAAAUUGUAUUAUCUGGAAACAACAGUGAUGGGUAGGAGAAAAUACCACAUGGAUAGUCUCAAGUAAGUCUUCUCUGAGGAAAUGGCAUUUCAACUGAGACUAUGAUGGCAGAGGAAAGGCCUACUAUGCAUAAAUCUGGGAGAAGAGCAUUCAGGAAGAGGGACUGAAUUAAGAUAAGGUCAAGGCAGAUCCAGCCUGACACUAUGUUUUUGGAGCAUGGGAGUGAGUAGGAAUUAGACCACACGGACUUUGUAAACCAGGUAGAGUUUGGUUUUUAUACAGAAGGGUUUUGUCACUUGGUUCUUUUGUAUAACAAAAUUAAAGAUGAUCAAUUGAACAUGUGAGAGUUUAUCCUAUAAGAGAAGGCCAAAAUGGUGAUUUGGUGAUGCCCAUCGGCCAUCUUCAUCCUUAGGUUUUCAUCCUCAAGAAGACUCCAUGUCUCAUAUCACUGCAAGAAAACGGAGCUCUAUUUCUCAUAUUUGUAUUCUGCAGGAUAUGAGAAAUAUCCUGCAGGAAGAGGAGGCCAGCACACUGCCUUCCAGGACUCACUCCUUUUAGAGAAAUGAAACUUCCCAUGCAUGUCACUCCUUGGAAGGUAGCCACCUAGCCACACCUAAUUAUAAAGGAAGCUAGGAACUCUAGGUUGGGCACAUUGCUAUCUCCAGUGACAUGCAAGUUCUGUAAGAGACCAAUGAGGUAGCUCAGUGGGUAAAGAAAGGCACUUGCUGCCAGGCCUGGUGACCUGAGUUCAAUGUCUAGGACUCACAUGGUAGAAAGAAAGAAUUGACUCCUACAAGUUGUCCUGACUUCUCUAUGGGCAUGGUGUGUUUACACACACACACUGAAUAUAAAGAUGUUCUGUAAGAAUAGGUGGCUGGGAAGAUUGUUAACCAAAUGUGUCAUAGAAAGAAUGUGAGCUGGUACUUGUUUCAAAAACUACCUGACCUAUGUGUGGACACAGAGUAGAGACAAAGACCUGAACAUUUCUCUGGGGUGACUGAGGAGUUGUUCCUGCAGGCCAAUAGAAGAGAACGCUUGAAGGGCAACCAGCAAUGACAGUGACCAACAGUAGAGGAGCCUUGACGCUUGGCGGAUACUUCCAAAGUGCUGCCCACAAGAACCCAUGGAAUCCUACCAGAACCCUUUUUCGUUCCAUCACAAUAGUGUUCUUAUCCUCCUUGUUUAAAAAAAAAAAAAAAAAAAAGUAGAAACCCUGGCACCAAGAAGUCAGUAACUCACCCAUGUCUUCACAGGUGACUCACAGCCAGCACUGUGGCUCCAGAGCCUUCUUGUCCCUGGCUGCUGAGAGGGGAGACACAAGAACAGAAAAUGGUUGUUCCUGUCACCACACUUUCCCUGAGGUAUGUUCUCUACCCUCCACCACUGGUCAAAGUUCAUCCUGCUUCCUUUACAUUGCUUCUCUCAUAGUACUUCGUUGCAGUGACGAGAAAGGUAACGAACACUGGCAUUUUAAGAUAAAUCCUUAUCACUUAGCACAAGCCCUUGAGAACCGUCCAAGAUGUGUGUAUCAGCAGUAUUGUGUUACUGCCCAGAAGCAGUGUUUUAUAGUAAUGCAGUACCAGAGUUAGGUUCGGUCAUUCAUUUAUUGUAAGACAUGUUUGUUUCUGGUCAGUGACUUGUUAGUAGAAAUAAAUCUACUGUGAGCAUUUUUGUAUAAUAAGUGUGGUUUUUGAGCCAUCACCUGGAUUCUCCAUGACUUCCUUUUGACAUCGUAUUUAUUUCAAGUUCUUCAGUUGUAUUUAUAACUCAUUGUUAACAUACCUUUUAAAUAGUAGAAGUGUUUAAACAAUAUUUUCCUUAGUGUAUAGUUUACCUAUGAAACAGGUCUUGUAAUGGUCCAGACUGUACUUGAACUCUUGUGCUUAAGUCCCCCAAGGAGCUGGGGUUACAGGCACACCUCUCUGCACCCAGUUCUAGACAUUUUAGUGUCUAGUAGUUUUUUAAUCAUAAUAUCAGCUUUAAUUAUAUUUAUGAGUGGGAACUGUUUUCAAGAGUCAAUCUAAUUUCAUGUUGUAUAAACUUACUUCCCCUAGAGUUGUUUUUCAUACUGUAAAUUUAGUUUAUAAUUGUUAUAGUUACAGAAUAUGAAACAUGAAACCUUGAUACUUUUUAGUAACUAUUAAGGAUUUCUUGGCUAAGAAUUUGAUUUAGUUUCUGUUUUGUCAUUAUUUUGCAUAGAGCAGCCAAGGUCAAGAGCAGUUCAUCCCCCUUGCUUGUGUAUAUGUGUCUUAAUUAUGGUUUCUGUUGCUGUGAUAAGAGACCAUGACCAAAAGCAACUUAGGAAAGAGUUUAUUUCGGCUUAUAGCUGAUUGAUAGCUUUGUGUUACUAAAGGAAUGGAAAAAUAUACCAGAUCUAGUCUUCAUUGUU
This is a non-coding RNA of Peromyscus maniculatus bairdii (prairie deer mouse), 3323 nucleotides long. NCBI's taxonomy places the organism in Eukaryota, Metazoa, Chordata, Mammalia, Rodentia, Cricetidae. The record is from RefSeq and is a predicted model, not a curated record.